UCAAGUUAUUAAGGGUGCAGGGCGGAUGCCUUGGCACUAGGAGCCGAUGAAGGACGUGAUAAGCUGCGAUAAGCUUCGGGGAGUUGCACGUAAACUUUGAUCCGAAGAUUUCCGAAUGAGGAAACUCACUUAGAGUAAUGUCUAAGUAUCAUUAAGUGAAUACAUAGCUUAAUGAGGGGAACUCAGGGAACUGAAACAUCUAAGUACCUGAAGGAAGAGAAAGAAAUUCGAUUCCGUAAGUAGCGGCGAGCGAACGCGGAUUAGCCCAAACCAAUAAAGUUUUCUUUAUUGGGGUUGCGGACAUAUCAUAACGAAGAGGUAUCGUAAUUGAAGAGGUUUGGAAAGACCCACCACAGAAGGUAAUAGUCCUGUAUGUUAAACGAGAAGACUUUAGAUAUGAUCCAGAGUACCACGGGACACGUGAAACCCUGUGGGAAGCAGGAGGGACCACCCUCCAAGGCUAAAUACUACCUAGUGACCGAUAGCGUAUAGUACCGUGAGGGAAAGGUGAAAAGAACCCCGGGAGGGGAGUGAAAUAGAACCUGAAACCCUGCACUUACAAGCUGUGGAAGCACAUUUCUUGUGUGACCGCGUACUUUUUGUAGAACGGGCCAACGAGUUACGUUAAGUAGCAAGGUUAAGCACUUAAGGUGCGGAGCCGUAGCGAAAGCGAGUUUUAACUGAGCGUUCAGUUACUUGACGUAGACCCGAAACCGGGCGACCUACCCAUGAGCAGGAUGAAGCGAAAGUAAAAUUUCGUGGAGGUCCGAACCCACGAGCGUUGAAAAGCUCGGGGAUGACUUGUGGGUAGCGGUGAAAUUCCAAUCGAGCCCGGAGAUAGCUGGUUCUCCCCGAAAUAGCUUUAGGGCUAGCCUCAAGGUGAGAGAUACGGAGGUAGAGCACUGAAUGUCCUAGGGGGUAUUGCACCUACCGAAGACUAUCAAACUCCGAAUGCCGUCAUCUUAUACUUGGGAGUCAGACUGUGGGUGAUAAGAUUCAUAGUCGAAAGGGCAACAGCCCAGAUCGUCAGCUAAGGUCCCUAAAUGUAAGUUAAGUGGUAAAGGAUGUGGGAUUGCACAGACAACCAGGAUGUUGGCUUAGAAGCAGCCACUCAUUCAAAGAGUGCGUAAUAGCUCACUGGUCGAGUGAUCCUGCGCCGAAGAUUUCCGGGGCUAAAACUUACUACCGAAGCUACGGCAUCAGUAAUGAUGGGUAGGGGAGCUUCCCAUACGGGUUGAAGCAUGACCGUAAGGACAUGUGGACAGUAUGGGAGUGAGAAUGUUGGCAUGAGUAGCGAGAUGUGGGUGAGAAUCCCACAGGCCGUAAACCCAAGGUUUCCAGGGGAAGGUUCGUCCGCCCUGGGUUAGUCGGGACCUAAGCUGAGGCCGAAAGGCGUAGGUGAUGGACAACAGGCUGAUAUUCCUGUACUACCGAUAACCGUUUGAGAGAAGGGAUGACACAGUAGGAUAAGCUAAGCACACUGUUGGUUAUGUGUGCCCAAGCAUUGAGGCAGUCAAAGUAGGUAAAUCCGCUUUGAUAAUGCUGGGAUGUGAUGGGGAGCGAAAUUUAGUAGCGAAGUAGCUGAUUUCACACUGUCAAGAAAAGUCUCUAUCGAGGUUAAAGGUACCCGUACCGCAAACCGACACAGGUGGGUGAGGAGAGUAUCCUAAGGCCAGCGAGAGAACUGUUGUUAAGGAACUCGGCAAAAUGACCCCGUAACUUAGGGAUAAGGGGUGCCACCAUCAGGUGGCCGCAGAGAAUAGGCCCAAGCGACUGUUUACCAAAAACAUAGGUUUCUGCUAAGUCGCAAGACGAUGUAUAGGAGCUGACGCCUGCCCGGUGCUGGAAGGUUAAGGGGAUCUGUUAGAGCAAUCGAAGCAGUGAACUUAAGCCCCAGUAAACGGCGGCCGUAACUAUAACGGUCCUAAGGUAGCGAAAUUCCUUGUCGGGUAAGUUCCGACCCGCACGAAAGGCGUAACGAUUUGGGCACUGUCUCAACAACAGACUCGGUGAAAUUGUAAUUCCGGUGAAGAUGCCGGAUACCUGCGACAGGACGGAAAGACCCCAUGGAGCUUUACUGUAGCUUGACAUUGGGUCUUGGUACUACAUGUACAGGAUAGGUGGGAGGCUUUGAAACCAGGACGCCAGUUUUGGCGGAGCCAUCCUUGGGAUACCACCCUUGUAGUACUGGGACUCUAACCAUAGGCCAUGAAUCUGGUCUUGGGACACUGUCAGGUGGGCAGUUUGACUGGGGCGGUCGCCUCCCAAAAGGUAACGGAGGCGCUCAAAGGUUCUCUCAGUACGGUCGGAAAUCGUACGUAGAGUGUAAAGGCAAAAGAGAGCUUGAUUGCAAGACAUACAGGUCGAGCAAGGAUGAAAAUCGGACUUAGUGAUCCGGUGGUUCUGCGUGGAAGGGCCAUCGCUCAACGGAUAAAAGCUACCCUGGGGAUAACAGGCUUAUCUCCCCCAAGAGUCCACAUCGACGGGGAGGUUUGGCACCUCGAUGUCGGCUCAUCACAUCCUGGGGCUGUAGUAGGUCCCAAGGGUUGGGCUGUUCGCCCAUUAAAGUGGUACGCGAGCUGGGUUCAGAACGUCGUGAGACAGUUCGGUCCCUAUCCGUCGCAGGCGUAGGAAAUUUGAGAAGACCUGUCCUUAGUACGAGAGGACCGGGAUGGACGUACCUCUGGUGUACCAGUUGUUCUGCCAAGGGCAUGGCUGGGUAGCUAUGUACGGAAUGGAUAAGCGCUGAAAGCAUCUAAGCGCGAAGCCAACUUCAAGAUAAGAUUUCCCACCGCAAGGGUAAGACCCCAGAAAGACUAUCUGGUUGAUAGGUCGAAGGUGUAAGUGCAGCAAUGUAUUUAGCUUAUCGAUACUAAUAGGUCGAGGACUUGACCAA
Molecule: ribosomal RNA, 2896 nt
Filed under: Clostridioides difficile
Lineage: Bacteria; Bacillati; Bacillota; Clostridia; Peptostreptococcales; Peptostreptococcaceae
Description: 23S ribosomal RNA
Rfam family: Bacterial large subunit ribosomal RNA
Source: RNAcentral